CACUUCUGGGGAGCCAGAGGCUGCCACUGAUGACGCCGAGGAGCCAAAUUUGCGGACCGGGAGUUUGGGACCGACCGUGCCCGCCUAGCACCAUAAAGGAGCGAUGUAGCGACCUGCGGCGAGCUGGUGCUUGAAUGAGCGAUGGAGCUCGGGACCGACCGCGCCUGCCUUAGGAAGCUGCUGGUGCGAGAAAUCGAACAGAAGAGCGAUGGACCUCGGGACCGACCGCGCCUGCCUUAGGAAGCUGCUGGUGCGAGAAAUCGAACAGAAGCGG
RNAcentral lists this long non-coding RNA (274 nucleotides) under Setaria italica (foxtail millet). Its description in RNAcentral is "long non-coding RNA (SITA_LNC006407)". Lineage: Eukaryota; Viridiplantae; Streptophyta; Magnoliopsida; Poales; Poaceae. The record is from RNAcentral.